Molecule: long non-coding RNA, 368 nt
Organism: Cydia amplana
Lineage: Eukaryota; Metazoa; Arthropoda; Insecta; Lepidoptera; Tortricidae
Exons: 2
Source: RefSeq, a predicted model, not a curated record
UCCCCGCUAUUAAAACGGCACUGUAUUCUUGGCUGGACAGAUGUUACUAAGCCAUGUUGUAGCGGGGUCAUCUAUAACACUAGUCAAGUAGUCACGCAAUCGUUUUCUUCCUGGUCCUUUAGUAAUAUACUAUCAGGGAAUAUAUAUUAUAGUCCUGGGAGACACAAAUGAAACCGUCGCCAAGAUACCGCGUCACGAAAUCUCAUUUUAUUUAUUAACUAAUCCGUAAGGGUGGAGGAUUCCUUCAGAUUUGUUUUUUCUGUACAUUUCUCGGGUGACGCGACUGAAUGAGGGUAUUUUAUAAUGUUAAUGCAGUAAUGGAUGAUAAUUUUAAGUUCCGCUAUUAUUACGAAUAAAAGUAAGUAAUA